UACGGAGGGUGCAAGCGUUAAUCGGAAUUACUGGGCGUAAAGCGCGCGUAGGCGGUUUUUUAAGUCGGAUGUGAAAGCCCCGGGCUCAACCUGGGAACUGCAUCCGAUACUGGAAGACUAGAAUGCGGGAGAGGGAGGUAGAAUUCCAUGUGUAGCAGUGAAAUGCGUAGAUAUAUGGAGGAAUACCAGUGGCGAAGGCGGCCUCCUGGCUCGACAUUGACGCUGAGGUGCGAAAGCGUGGGGAGCAGACGGG
RNAcentral lists this ribosomal RNA (253 nucleotides) under uncultured bacterium. Its description in RNAcentral is "partial 16S ribosomal RNA". It matches the Rfam family "Bacterial small subunit ribosomal RNA", at positions 524 to 776 of the family's 1533-position model. The record is from RNAcentral.